GAUGAACGCUGGCGGCGUGCCUAAUACAUGCAAGUCGAGCGAACAGACGAGGAGCUUGCUCCUCUGACGUUAGCGGCGGACGGGUGAGUAACACGUGGAUAACCUACCUAUAAGACUGGGAUAACUUCGGGAAACCGGAGCUAAUACCGGAUAAUAUAUUGAACCGCAUGGUUCAAUAGUGAAAGACGGUUUUGCUGUCACUUAUAGAUGGAUCCGCGCCGCAUUAGCUAGUUGGUAAGGUAACGGCUUACCACGGCGACGAUGCGUAGCCGACCUGAGAGGGUGAUCUGCCACACUGGAACUGAGACACGGCCCAGACUCCUACGGGAGGCAGCAAUAGGGAAUCUUGCGCAAUGGGCGAAAGCCUGACGAAGCAACGCCGCGUGAGUGAUGAAGGUCUUCAGAUCGUAAAACUCUGUUAUUAGGGAAGAACAAAUGUGUAAGUAACUAUGCACGUCUUGACGGUACCUAAUCAGAAAGCCACGGCUAACUACGUG
This 497-nucleotide ribosomal RNA is filed under the name uncultured bacterium. RNAcentral describes it as "partial 16S ribosomal RNA". It matches the Rfam family "Bacterial small subunit ribosomal RNA", at positions 28 to 507 of the family's 1533-position model. The record is from RNAcentral.